RNAcentral lists this unclassified non-coding RNA (204 nucleotides) under Hevea brasiliensis (rubber tree). Lineage: Eukaryota; Viridiplantae; Streptophyta; Magnoliopsida; Malpighiales; Euphorbiaceae. The record is from RNAcentral.
AUUUUGCUUUCCCCUUUUUACUCUUGGUAUGCCCUUCGAGAGCUUUCAAUCCACUGUAUAAUGAGUCCAUCACUAGAGUAGAUGUCACCUCCUUCUCAAUAAAAAAGUGUUUUACGACAACUUUUAGAAUUGUAUCUGUCUUUUCCCUAGACAUACGCCGCCUAGCAUUCUGGUCAAUCCCCAACCAGAAAGCUCGAAAACUUG